This 294-nucleotide ribosomal RNA is filed under the name uncultured bacterium. RNAcentral's name for it is "partial 16S ribosomal RNA". It matches the Rfam family "Bacterial small subunit ribosomal RNA", at positions 773 to 1060 of the family's 1533-position model. The record is from RNAcentral.
GUGGAUUAGAUACCCGGGUAGUCCUAGCCGUAAACGAUGAGCACUUGGUUGGAGGCUCCUCCAUAGGCUUCCGGCCGUAGCGAAAGUGUUAAGUGCUCCGCCUGGGGAGUAUGGCCGCAAGGCUGAAACUCAAAGGAAUUGACGGGGGCUCACACAAGCGGUGGAGGAUGUGGCUUAAUUCGAGGCUACGCGAAGAACCUUAUCCUAGUCUUGACAUGCAUGGAUUAACCCUAUGAAAGUAGGGCCACGCCUUCGGGUGGAACAUGCACAGGUGCUGCACGGCCGUCGUCAACU